GUAGGUGGCAAGCGUUGUCCGGAAUUAUUGGGCGUAAAGCGCGCGCAGGCGGUUCUUUAAGUCUGAUGUGAAAGCCCACGGCUCAACCGUGGAGGGUCAUUGGAAACUGGGGAACUUGAGUACAGAAGAGGAAAGCGGAAUUCCACGUGUAGCGGUGAAAUGCGUAGAGAUGUGGAGGAACACCAGUGGCGAAGGCGGCUUUCUGGUCUGUAACUGACGCUGAGGCGCGAAAGCGUGGGGAGCAAACAGGGAUUAGAUACCCUGGUAGUCCACGCCGUAAACGAUGAGUGCUAAGUGUUAGGGGGUUUCCGCCCCCUUAGUGCUGCAGCUAACGCAUUAAGCACUCCGCCUGGGGAGUACGCCGCAAGGCUG
RNAcentral lists this ribosomal RNA (372 nucleotides) under uncultured organism. RNAcentral's name for it is "partial 16S ribosomal RNA". It matches the Rfam family "Bacterial small subunit ribosomal RNA", at positions 527 to 896 of the family's 1533-position model. The record is from RNAcentral.